CCUCGCCGCUGACCGAGUUUUUCCUUUACAGACCGAGUCGCCUUGCUGUCGUCGCGGUGAUUUUCCUGCUACUGCUACUGCUGCUGCUGCCGCCGCCACUACCACUGGGCUCAUUUGCCCCGACCCCUUCCCGCCGCCCCGCCCCCAGCCCCACACAAGAUGUCAGAGGAUUUAGCAAAGCAGCUGGCAAGCUACAAAGCUCAGCUCCAGCAAGUUGAAGCUGCAUUAUCUGGAAAUGGAGAAAAUGAAGAUUUGCUAAAAUUGAAGAAAGAUUUACAAGAAGUUAUAGAACUAACCAAAGACCUUCUGUCAACUCAACCUUCUGAGACUCUUGCAAGUUCAGACAGUUUUGCUUCCACUCAACCUACUCAUUCAUGGAAAGUAGGAGACAAGUGUAUGGCAAUCUGGAGUGAAGAUGGACACCAUGAUAUCUUUACAGGUGUUAUGAAGCGGAGAUUGAGGAGAUAGAUGAAGAAAAUGGCACCGCUGCAAUCACCUUUGCUGGUUAUGGCAAUGCUGAAGUGACUCCACUGUUGAACCUCAAGCCUGUAGAAGAAGGAAGGAAGGCAAAGGAAGACAGUGGCAACAAACCCAUGUCAAAAAAAGAAAUGAUUGCCCAGCAGCGUGAAUAUAAAAAGAAGAAAGCUUUGAAAAAAGCUCAGAGAAUAAAAGAACUUGAGCAGGAAAGAGAGGACCAGAAAGUGAAAUGGCAACAAUUCAACAACAGAGCCUAUUCUAAAAACAAAAAAGGCC
RNAcentral lists this small RNA (753 nucleotides) under Pongo abelii (Sumatran orangutan). RNAcentral describes it as "processed transcript". The record is from RNAcentral. Lineage: Eukaryota; Metazoa; Chordata; Mammalia; Primates; Hominidae.